UGGGGAAUCUUGCGCAAUGGGCGAAAGCCUGACGCAGCGACGCCGCGUGAGUGAUGAAGGCCUUCGGGUUGUAAAGCUCUGUGGAGGGGGACGAAUAAGUGUUGGCUAAUAUCCAGCAUGAUGACGGUACCCCUUUAGCAAGCACCGGCUAACUCUGUGCCAGCAGCCGCGGUAAGACAGAGGGUGCAAACGUUGUUCGGAAUGACUGGGCGUAAAGCGCGUGUAGGCGGCCUCGCAAGUCGGGUGUGAAAGCCCUGGGCUCAACCCAGGAAGUGCACUCGAAACUGCAAGGCUUGAGUCCCGGAGAGGAAAGCGGAAUUCUCGGUGUAGAGGUGAAAUUCGUAGAUAUCGAGAGGAACACCGGUGGCGAAGGCGGCUUUCUGGACGGCGACUGACGCUG
This 400-nucleotide ribosomal RNA is filed under the name uncultured bacterium. Its description in RNAcentral is "bacterial SSU rRNA". It matches the Rfam family "Bacterial small subunit ribosomal RNA", at positions 355 to 748 of the family's 1533-position model. The record is from RNAcentral.